Molecule: ribosomal RNA, 253 nt
Filed under: uncultured bacterium
Lineage: Bacteria
Description: partial 16S ribosomal RNA
Rfam family: Bacterial small subunit ribosomal RNA
Source: RNAcentral
UACGUAGGUGGCAAGCGUUGUCCGGAAUUAUUGGGCGUAAAGCGCGUUCAGGCGGUUUGGCAAGUCGGGCAUGAAAUCUCUCGGCUCAACCGGGAGAGGUUGUCCGAUACUGCUGGACUUGAGGGCAGUAGAGGGUGGUGGAAUUCCGGGUGUAGCGGUGGAAUGCGUAGAGAUCCGGAAGAACACCGGUGGCGAAGGCGGUCGACUGGGCCAGUACUGACGCUGAGGCGCGACAGCGUGGGGAGCAAACAGG